RNAcentral lists this ribosomal RNA (497 nucleotides) under uncultured bacterium. RNAcentral's name for it is "partial 16S ribosomal RNA". It matches the Rfam family "Bacterial small subunit ribosomal RNA", at positions 28 to 507 of the family's 1533-position model. The record is from RNAcentral.
GAUGAACGCUGGCGGCGUGCCUAAUACAUGCAAGUCGAGCGAACAGACGAGGAGCUUGCUCCUCUGACGUUAGCGGCGGACGGGUGAGUAACACGUGGAUAACCUACCUAUAAGACUGGGAUAACUUCGGGAAACCGGAGCUAAUACCGGAUAACAUGUUGAACCGCAUGGUUCAACAGUGAAAGACGGUCUUGCUGUCACUUAUAGAUGGAUCCGCGCCGCAUUAGCUAGUUGGUAAGGUAACGGCUUACCAAGGCAACGAUGCGUAGCCGACCUGAGAGGGUGAUCGGCCACACUGGAACUGAGACACGGUCCAGACUCCUACGGGAGGCAGCAGUAGGGAAUCUUCCGCAAUGGGCGAAAGCCUGACGGAGCAACGCCGCGUGAGUGAAGAAGGUCUUCGGAUCGUAAAACUCUGUUAUUAGGGAAGAACAAAUGUGUAAGUAACUAUGCACGUCUUGACUGUACCUAAUCAGAAAGCCACGGCUAACUACGUG